ACCGCAUAAUGCAGCGGCACCUAAUGGUGACAGUUGUUAAAGCGGGGGAUCGAAAGACCUCGCGUCUGAAGAGGAGCCUGCGGCGGAUUAGCUAGUUGGUAAGGUAACGGCUUACCAAGGCGACGAUCCGUAGCCGGCCUGAGAGGGCGGUCGGCCACACUGACACUGACAUACGGGUCAGACUCCUACGGGAGGCAGCAGUCGGGAAUUUUGGGCAAUGGGCGAAAGCCUGACCCAGCAACGCCGCGUGAAGGAUGAAAUCCCUCGGGAUGUAAACUUCGCAAGAACGGGAAGAAUAAGCCGGUGUCAACACCACCGGCGAUGACGGUACUGUUUGUAAGCUCCGGCUAACUCCGUGCCAGCAGCCGCGG
Molecule: ribosomal RNA, 371 nt
Filed under: uncultured soil bacterium
Lineage: Bacteria
Description: bacterial SSU rRNA
Rfam family: Bacterial small subunit ribosomal RNA
Source: RNAcentral